RNAcentral lists this ribosomal RNA (253 nucleotides) under uncultured bacterium. RNAcentral's name for it is "partial 16S ribosomal RNA". It matches the Rfam family "Bacterial small subunit ribosomal RNA", at positions 524 to 776 of the family's 1533-position model. The record is from RNAcentral.
UACAGAGGUCUCAAGCGUUGUUCGGAUUCAUUGGGCGUAAAGGGUGCGUAGGCGGCGCGGUAAGUCGGGUGUGAAAUCUCGGAGCUUAACUCCGAAACUGCAUUCGAUACUGCCGUGCUUGAGGACUGGAGAGGAGACUGGAAUUUACGGUGUAGCGGUGAAAUGCGUAGAUAUCUGGAGGAACACCGGUGGCGAAGGCGGCAUCCUGGACCGGCAUUGACGCUGAGGCGCGAAAGCCAGGGGAGCAAACAGG